RNAcentral lists this ribosomal RNA (86 nucleotides) under Escherichia coli. Lineage: Bacteria; Pseudomonadati; Pseudomonadota; Gammaproteobacteria; Enterobacterales; Enterobacteriaceae. The record is from RNAcentral.
CCUGGCGGCCUUAGCGCGGUGGUCCCACCUGACCCCAUGCCGAACUCAGAAGUGAAACGCCGUAGCGCCGAUGGUAGUGUGGGGUA